CUAACCAUGCAAGUCGAGCGGCAGCGACACAUUGAACCUUCGGGGGAUUUGUUGGGCGGCGAGCGGCGGACGGGUGAGUAAUGCCUGGGAAAUUGCCCUGAUGUGGGGGAUAACCAUUGGAAACGAUGGCUAAUACCGCAUGAUAGCUUCGGCUCAAAGAGGGGGACCUUCGGGCCUCUCGCGUCAGGAUAUGCCCAGGUGGGAUUAGCUAGUUGGUGAGGUAAGGGCUCACCAAGGCGACGAUCCCUAGCUGGUCUGAGAGGAUGAUCAGCCACACUGGAACUGAGACACGGUCCAGACUCCUACGGGAGGCAGCAGUGGGGAAUAUUGCACAAUGGGCGCAAGCCUGAUGCAGCCAUGCCGCGUGUAUGAAGAAGGCCUUCGGGUUGUAAAGUACUUUCAGCAGUGAGGAAGGAGAUAUCGUUAAUAGCGGUACUCUUUGACGUUAGCUGCAGAAGAAGCACCGGCUAACUCCGUGCCAGCAGCCGCGGUAAUACGGAGGGUGCGAGCGUUAAUCGGAAUUACUGGGCGUAAAGCGCAUGCAGGUGGUUUGUUAAGUCAGAUGUGAAAGCCCGGGGCUCAACCUCGGAAUUGCAUUUGAAACUGGCAGGCUAGAGUACUGUAGAGGGGGGUAGAAUUUCAGGUGUAGCGGUGAAAUGCGUAGAGAUCUGAAGGAAUACCGGUGGCGAAAGCGGCCCCCUGGACAGAUACUGACACUCAGAUGCGAAAGCGUGGGGAGCAAACAGGAUUAGAUACCCUGGUAGUCCACGCCGUAAACGAUGUCAACUAGCCCGUUGGGAAUCCCUUGAGAUUUUAGUGGCGCAGCUAACGCAUUUAAAGUUUGACCCGCCCUGGGGGAGUACGGCCGGCAAGGUUAAAACUCAAAGUAUUG
This 892-nucleotide ribosomal RNA is filed under the name uncultured bacterium. RNAcentral's name for it is "bacterial SSU rRNA". It matches the Rfam family "Bacterial small subunit ribosomal RNA", at positions 48 to 911 of the family's 1533-position model. The record is from RNAcentral.